Molecule: long non-coding RNA, 836 nt
Filed under: Elaeis guineensis (African oil palm)
Lineage: Eukaryota; Viridiplantae; Streptophyta; Magnoliopsida; Arecales; Arecaceae
Description: long non-coding RNA (EGUI_LNC075625)
Source: RNAcentral
CAUGUCUCUUCUUUCUCUUAUCCCCUGGGUGAAGGAAUUUCCCUCAUCUCUAAUCCAUCUUCCAUCAUGAGAUAUUUUCAGCUCAAACCCAAACCCCAUGCUCCGUGAGAAAGAAGGUCCGGACAAAUCAUAGACGCACGUGGAAGAUUUAUCUCCUCCCCAUCGUCGGCUUAAAAACUUAAGCAUGCUCAGGGUUUCCAAAGUCAAAGCUUUCAACUCAGAGUAGAAAACAUAAAAAUCAAAAAUUCAUCAUACAAUUAAUUCCCCCCCCAAAAACCAAAAAAAUCACAAAAAAAAAAAGAGAGAGAAAAUCCUUGACAUAGUUGGCAAAUCCAGUGACACAAUCAAAACGAAUCCAACAACAUAUGAAUCCCUUCUGUUUCACUCAAAGUAUAUUCUGAAAAACAAUGUCCAACCGAAGGGGGAGAUCCUACAAAAAGAUAGAAAAAUAGCCCAUAUUUGUUCCAUUAUCAUUCCAGCACCAACCAAAACUCCUAAAUUUAUUAAGAUUCAACAAGUAACCUUCCAAAUUACGAGAGGACAACAAUUUGGCAAUAAAGGAACAGAACUUUAGAACAACUUACCUCAUUUUUCCGUGAGAAGGCGAAGUGCACGCACUAGAAGAACGGGCCCUGCUUCCCAUGAGAAAAAAACCGGAUAAAAAAACCACCGGUGCCUUUUAACGGCUUCUCUCCUCUUCUUCUUCUCUACAUCUGUGAGACGACCGAGCAUUGGGAAUGAGAUGUGGGGGUAGACUUUUCUAGGCCAUGACGGCAGAUUUCGUAAGGGAAGAGCUCGAUGGAGAGAGGCCGGGAAGAAGAGGCGCGGCGUCCUCA